RNAcentral lists this ribosomal RNA (415 nucleotides) under uncultured bacterium. RNAcentral describes it as "bacterial SSU rRNA". It matches the Rfam family "Bacterial small subunit ribosomal RNA", at positions 33 to 493 of the family's 1533-position model. The record is from RNAcentral.
UACGCUGGCGGCACGCCUAAACAUGCAAGUCGAACGAAGUAGCAAUACUUAGUGGCAGACGGGUGAGUAACAUGUGGGUAUCUGCCCUUUGGCCUGGAAUAACACGAGGAAACUUGUGCUAAUACCGGAUAAGUCUUUACGGAGAAAGCUUUAUGCACCAUUGGAUGAGCCUGCACUUGAUUAGUUUGUUGGUGGGGUAAUGGCCUACCAAGACUGUGAUCAAUAGCUGAUUUGAGAGGAUGAUCAGCCACAUUGGGACUGAGACACGGCCCAAACUCCUACGGGAGGCAGCAGUGGGGAAUCUUGCACAAUGGAGGAAACUCUGAUGCAGCGAUGCCGCGUGAGUGAAGAAGGCCUUUGGGUUGUAAAGCUCUUUCGUCGGGGAAGAAAAUGACUGUACCCGAAUAAGGAUCGG